RNAcentral lists this ribosomal RNA (433 nucleotides) under uncultured bacterium. Its description in RNAcentral is "partial 16S ribosomal RNA". It matches the Rfam family "Bacterial small subunit ribosomal RNA", at positions 29 to 507 of the family's 1533-position model. The record is from RNAcentral.
AACGAACGCUGGCGGCAGGCCUAACACAUGCAAGUCGAGCGGACCCUUCGGGGUUAGCGGCGGACGGGUGUGUAACGCGUGGGAACGUGCCCUUUGCUUCGGAAUAGCCCUGGGAAACUGGGAGUAAUACCGGAUACGCCCUUUUGGGGAAAGAUUUAUCGGCCAAGGAUCGGCCCGCGUUGGAUUAGGUUGUUGGUGGGGUAAUGGCCUACCAAGCCGCCGAUCCAUAGCUGGGUUGAGAGGAUGAUCAGCGACACUGGGACUGAGACACGGCCCAGACUCCUACGGGAGGCAGCAGUGGGGAAUCGUAGACAAUGGGGGAAACCCUGAUCUAGCCAUGCCGCGUGAGCGAUGAAGGCCUGAGGGUUGUAAAGCUCUUUCACCGGGGAAGAUAAUGACGGUACCCGGAGAAGAAGCCACGGCUAACUCCGUG